GAUGAACGCUGGCGGUAUGCUUAACACAUGCAAGUCGAACGGACUCUUCGGAGUUAGUGGCGGACGGGUGAGUAACGCGUGAGAAUCUGGCUUUGGGUUCGGGACAACCACUGGAAACGGUGGCUAAUACCGGAUGUGCCGAGAGGUAAAAGAGAAAUUGCCUGAAGAUGAGCUCGCGUCUGAUUAGCUAGUUGGUGAGGUAAAGGCUCACCAAGGCAGCGAUCAGUAGCUGGUCUGAGAGGAUGACCAGCCACACUGGGACUGAGACACGGCCCAGACUCCUACGGGAGGAAGCAGGGGGGAAUGUUCCGGAAUGGGCGAAAGCCUGACGGAGCAAUACCGCGUGAGGGAAGAAGGCUCUUGGGUUGUAAACCUCUUUUCUUAGGGAAGAACAAAAUGACGGUACCUAAGGAAUCAGCAUCGGCUAACUCCGUG
RNAcentral lists this ribosomal RNA (435 nucleotides) under uncultured bacterium. RNAcentral describes it as "partial 16S ribosomal RNA". It matches the Rfam family "Bacterial small subunit ribosomal RNA", at positions 28 to 507 of the family's 1533-position model. The record is from RNAcentral.